UCACAACCAUAUGCUAGGA
Molecule: unclassified non-coding RNA, 19 nt
Filed under: Chlamydomonas reinhardtii
Lineage: Eukaryota; Viridiplantae; Chlorophyta; Chlorophyceae; Chlamydomonadales; Chlamydomonadaceae
Description: small RNA Cre_2464
Source: RNAcentral